This 495-nucleotide ribosomal RNA is filed under the name uncultured bacterium. Its description in RNAcentral is "partial 16S ribosomal RNA". It matches the Rfam family "Bacterial small subunit ribosomal RNA", at positions 28 to 507 of the family's 1533-position model. The record is from RNAcentral.
GACGAACGCUGGCGGCGUGCCUAAUACAUGCAAGUAGAACGCUGAAGGAGGAGCUUGCUUCUCUGGAUGAGUUGCGAACGGGUGAGUAACGCGUAGGUAACCUGCCUGGUAGCGGGGGAUAACUAUUGGAAACGAUAGCUAAUACCGCAUAAUAGUAGAUGUUGCAUGACAUUUGCUUAAAAGGUGCAAUUGCAUCACUACCAGAUGGACCUGCGUUGUAUUAGCUAGUUGGUGGGGUAACGGCUCACCAAGGCGACGAUACAUAGCCGACCUGAGAGGGUGAUCGGCCACACUGGGACUGAGACACGGCCCAGACUCCUACGGGAGGCAGCAGUAGGGAAUCUUCGGCAAUGGACGGAAGUCUGACCGAGCAACGCCGCGGGAGUGAAGAAGGGUUUCGGAUCGUAAAGCUCUGUUGUAAGAGAAGAACGAGUGUGAGAGUGGAAAGUUCACACUGUGACGGUAUCCUACCAGAAAGGGACGGCUAACUACGUG